AGAUGCACGAAAUGAAAGAUGCCAUUUUCAGACGAAACAAAAGGCAGCACAAAAGACAAAGCUGUACAGUCACUGUCUUUGCUUUCAUUUUCCUUUCGUUUUGGGCUGCGUAACAAUAAACAGACAUCAUACUAGCUUUAAUCUAUACUUCAUAGGUCUUCUAAGAGUAAGAGGUCAUGCGUGUGCGUGGAGAAGUAAUACGGAUCCUGUGAAAUCUGCCACUACUUUGGAAAGUGCUACGGAGCCUCAGGCUGAAAAGGGAGUUCAAAUGAAAUUGCAUGGCACUGCAUACAUUACAUGGACAUCUUAUACUGCCAUCUGUAAAUAUGAAAAGUCAAAUAAAUCUACAGCUUUCACAGUC
Long non-coding RNA from Anolis carolinensis (green anole), 361 nucleotides. RefSeq lists it as uncharacterized. The record is from RefSeq and is a predicted model, not a curated record. Lineage: Eukaryota; Metazoa; Chordata; Lepidosauria; Squamata; Anolidae. The transcript is spliced from 2 exons.